AUGGGUUAGUCGAUCCUA
Molecule: small nuclear RNA, 18 nt
Filed under: Arabidopsis thaliana (thale cress)
Lineage: Eukaryota; Viridiplantae; Streptophyta; Magnoliopsida; Brassicales; Brassicaceae
Description: snRNA_16519
Source: RNAcentral